UUAAGGUGUCAAUUUGAGACCUACUGUUACUCUUUUGAGUUUAAGAGGAGUCUUACGGAAGCUUUUGGAGAUCGAAAGGUGCGGCUGGAAGAGAAACUUCAAGACAUACAUCUUUUGUGAAGGAGAUUUUGCAUUUGGAGUUUAUGUGAAGGAGUUAUAGGGAGUUAAAGACAGCGCAUUCAAAUCAAAGGCAGUAAGUGAGCGGUUUUGUUCAAAGUAGUGUUAGGAGCCAUAACUUGAGUUUUCGAACGAAAUUUUGGCUCAAAAUUUGGGAGAAUGUAAAUAUUUGUGUUAAGAAGCUAUUUAUAUAAGUUUCGUGGCAUUUAAACUUAUGGUUUGUGAGA
RNAcentral lists this long non-coding RNA (344 nucleotides) under Physcomitrium patens. RNAcentral describes it as "long non-coding RNA (PPAT_LNC002757)". Lineage: Eukaryota; Viridiplantae; Streptophyta; Bryopsida; Funariales; Funariaceae. The record is from RNAcentral.